CAAUAGCGUAUAUUAACGUUGUUGCAGUUAAAAAGCUCGUAGUUGGAUUUCUGGAGGGAGCGUCGGCCCGUAUUUACGAGUGCGUGACGUCUCUGUCCAUCCUUGCGGGAAGGCACGGCAUUGAUUUGUUGUGUCGGAUCGCAUCAUUUACUGUGAAAAAAUUAGAGUGUUCAAAGCAGGCUUUCGCUUGAAUACAUUAGCAUGGAAUAAUGAGAUAGGACUUUGGUGCUAUUUUGUUGGUUGAGCCUAAAGUAAUGAUUAAUAGGGAUAGUUGGGGGCACCUGUAUUGCGUUGUCAGAGGUGAAAUUCUUGGAUUUACGCAAGACAAACAGCUGCGAAAGCGUCUGCCAAGGAUGUUUUCAUUAA
RNAcentral lists this ribosomal RNA (366 nucleotides) under uncultured eukaryote. Its description in RNAcentral is "partial 18S ribosomal RNA". It matches the Rfam family "Eukaryotic small subunit ribosomal RNA", at positions 592 to 976 of the family's 1831-position model. The record is from RNAcentral.